GUGGCUCAGUGGUAGAGUGCUUGUCUAUCAUGCAGGAAGCCCUGAGUUCAAUUCCUCAGC
RNAcentral lists this transfer RNA (60 nucleotides) under Dipodomys ordii (Ord's kangaroo rat). It matches the Rfam family "tRNA", at positions 7 to 64 of the family's 71-position model. Rfam says of the family: Transfer RNA (tRNA) molecules are approximately 80 nucleotides in length. Their secondary structure includes four short double-helical elements and three loops (D, anti-codon, and T loops). Further hydrogen bonds mediate the characteristic L-shaped molecular structure. tRNAs have two regions of fundamental functional importance: the anti-codon, which is responsible for specific mRNA codon recognition, and the 3' end, to which the tRNAs corresponding amino acid is attached (by aminoacyl-tRNA synthetases). tRNAs cope with the degeneracy of the genetic code in two manners: having more than one tRNA (with a specific anti-codon) for a particular amino acid; and 'wobble' base-pairing, i.e. permitting non-standard base-pairing at the 3rd anti-codon position. The record is from Rfam by way of RNAcentral. Lineage: Eukaryota; Metazoa; Chordata; Mammalia; Rodentia; Heteromyidae.